AGUAGCUCUUGCGGCGAGGCUGGCCGAGCGGACUACAGUUCCCAGAGGCCCUGAAGGUGGGGGAGGAGGCGGGCGCUGUGCAAGGGAGGCUGGGCGCCGCUACCCUAGCGGGGGACCUCUGCCGGGCGCGGCUAGCGGUCUUUUCUGCUGUGGUGGCAGCGACGACUGCGGGAGACGGGAGACGCAGGGUCGGAAAUGCGUGGUGGGCUGGGUCCGGCCUUGAGCCAGAGUCCGCUGGGCCUGAGGCGUCCGAGUCAGCCGUGGAGGAAAACGAAGAUGACAUCCAGUUUGUGAGUGUAAGUAGCAGCGGUGUUUGGGUUUUCCCGAGUCAGAGAUUGUGCGGGACAAGCCACGAUGUGAUUUCCCCUCGCCUGUUCACUCAUCGUCCAGCAAACGUGUGGACGUCUCAUACCGACUGGACACUGUGGAGCAGGGCACAGGAGUGGGUAUCAGACUGGACACCGUGGAGCAGGACACAGGAGCGGGUAUCAGAGUGGACACCGUGGAGCAGGACACAGGAGCGGGUACCAGUGGACACCGUGGAGCAGGACACAGGAGCGGGUAUCAGUGGACACCGUGGAGCAGGGCACAGGAGUGGGUAUCAGAGUGGACACCAUGGAGCAGGACACAGGAGUGGGUAUCAAACUGGACACCGUGGAGCAGGACACAGGAGUGGGUAUCAAACUGGACAACGUGGAGCAGGGCACAGGAGUGGGUACCAGAGUGGACACCGUGGAGCAGGGCACAGGAGUGAAAGGUUGUUUUUGAAUCACGCAAAGACGCUGGGAUUCUUGGCCCCUGGAGGAGAAGAAUUCAAUCCAGGGCCAGAAACGAGGCUUGAUCGCUCAGAGCUUUUGUGUAAUAGUUUUAUUAAAGUAUAAAGGAGAUAGAGAAAGCUUCUGACAUAGGCAUCAAAAGAUGGCAGAAAGAGUACCCCCCUGCUAGUCUUCAGCUGGAUGUUAUAUACAUACAACAUACUUUUGUAUGUAUGUGAAGUCCCUCAGUGGUGUCUGACUCUUUGUGACCCCGUGGACUGUAGCCUACCAGUCUCCUUUGUCCAUGGGAUUCUCUAGGCAAGAGUACUGGAGUGGGUUGCCAUUUCCUUCUCCAGGGGAUCUUCCGGACCCAGGGAUUGAACCCUGGUCUCCCGCAUUGCAGGCAGACUGCUUUAAUCUCUGAGCCACCAGGGCAGCUAGCAGUCACUAGCAGUCUGUUAAUAAAAGAAAGAAAUGUCUUAAAACUCAGAAUGGCACCAGGCCCCUCACCCAUAAGAUGCAUUUUGGGAUAAUCUUGGCACCAAAUGAUUCAUCCUGGGCCAUAAAAUGAUUAACUUGAAUCUUGAAGAAGGGCAGAUUACCAUACAAAUAGUUUCAUUUACAUAGAUUAGGGGAACAAUAUCUGAGUAUAACAAACUGGUUUUUCAAGUAAGUUCUGAGCCGAGAGGCAGAACCGACUUGAAGACAGAGUUUGGGGUAAAUGCAUACUACAUUAGCAUAGCUUAAGACAAACAUUUCCAUAAGAAAAAGGCAUUGGUUGUUUCUAGGUUUGAAAAUAGUUAACUUCAGGUGAAACCAGGUGUUAUGGCAACACAGUAUUUGAAGAGAAACCUCCUUUUAAAUUUGUAUAGAGAAGGAAAAAAUAUCCGUAGUUUGUUUCCUCCUGCCGCUUAAGAGAGAUAAAAAUGUCUGACACUUGCCGGCUAUUUCCUUCAUUUGGAGACCCCUGGCCUUCCUGCCUGUUACCCUCUCAGGAGUAGGUAUCAGAGUGGACACCGUGGAGCAGGACACAGGAGCAGGUAUCAGAGUGGACACCGUGGAGCAGGACACAGGAGUGGGUAUCAGACUGGACACUAUGGAGCAGGACACAGGAGUAGAGCGGUUGCCCAGAGAGAGGUCUCGGCCGCCCCCUUAGCCAUCCCAGAGACUGUGGCCUGCGGGCCUGUUGGAGCCUGGAUCACGCCUCCUCCUCUCCUUUGCACAUGGAGCCGCUGGUGUGCGCAGGGUUCUGGUCUCCUAAGACUGUGUUUGAAUUGAGACCAGAGUAACUUCUGCAAGAUGGCCCCCAGGUUAGGGAGAAGGGGCGGCUAGUGAGGGGGAAGGAGGCGGGCUGCAGGAGGUCAGCAUCAGAGCCUGUAUGUCUCUGUAGAGUGGGGGCAGGUGCCCUGAAGACCUCACUGAGCUCUGAGGUCACCCUGUUACAUCACAGUCCCGCAGGCCAGGUUCACAGUGAGGGGCCUGCAUCACAGGAGCAUCCUGUAUCUUUCUGUGUUUAUCCCCUUCUGACAGUUUUCAAGCAUGAGGGAGUGGAAGUGUGCAGAAUCCUGCUCCCCGCUGCAGACCUAUGGAAUGAGGAUUUGAUGGUGGGGCUUGGGAACCCUAAUGUUGGUGCAGGGGUAUGCUGCUGCUACUGCUAAGUCGCUUCAGUCGUGUCUGUGCGACCCCACAGACGGCCUCCUACCGGGCCCCUCUGUCCCUGGGAUUCUCCAGGCAAGAACACUGGAGUGGGUUGCCAUUUCCUUCUCCAAUGCGUGAAAGUGAAGUUGCUCAGUCGUGUCCGACUCUUAGCAACCCCACGGACUGCAGCCUACCAGCUCCGCCGUCCAUGGGAUUUUCCAGGCAAGAGUACUGGAGUGGGGUGCCAAUAUAUAGCUCUGAACACAGUAAAACAUUGGUUGCAAUAACCGAAUGGGGUAUUGUGAUAUAUUUCAGGAUAAUUUCCAUCCCAAACUGUUAAGUUUUACAAAGUCUCUGCUUAAAGUAGUAUCUCAAUUAGCUGGAGAAUGUGUCUACUGUGAACUACUCUUUUUGAAUAUAGUUAGUUGAGGUUUGCUAUUAGAAGUAUAGUCUUUCUUUAACUGGGUUCCUGUUGACCGAGAAACACAAUGUUUGUGUGUUUCUUAGUUGCUGUAGGCUUAGGGCACUCAUGUAAAUGACUUGGUUUUAAAUCAAACAAAAUUCCCUCCCGAAGGAUUGUGGUAACUUUGUUUUUGUUGUUUUCUUAGGGUUAUAUAGAAAUUCUUUACCAGAUCAUUUCUUUGAUGUUCUUCCCCAAAAUUGUUCAUAUGAUACUCUCUUCUUGACACUUGGAGUUUUGAGGUACCAAGAACUGUAUGCUGACUUCACCUCCCCAUACAGUGAGGAAUAAAUGAUGCAGCUAUGGAAACUGAAGAGCCAUGAUGUCUGUUUUCAUACUGAAAAACAUUAGGCAAGAGGACUGCAGGGGUCAUUAGGAAAAAUAGUUUAGAUUCUGACUGUGGUGUAAAGACAAUGAAUAGGACAUGAUAACUUUGAUGGUGUUUUGUGCACCUCUAGAUAUGCGUAAUGUAAGUGUUUAUGAUAUGUGUUUUACUUUGAGAAAUACAGUAAAAUUCUAUAAAAUUAAUUUGGAAAAAUAGGUACAAUUUUAGUGUCGUACUCUGAGGUUUAAAUGCAUAAUUAUGUUGUAAAUUCUGACAGUUAAUAUAUCCACUUGUGUUCAGCUGAGGUUUAGAACUCAAUUUAAAUUUACUUUAAAUAUAGAGAAUUUUUUGUAUUUUUGCAUCCAGAGGAGUGUAUAUCCAACCUGAUAGAACCUCUUAUAAAUAGAAAUAGCUUUGUUUACAAAUAGAGGAUUAAAAAUUUGACAGCUCCGUAAGAAGUGAAUUAUAUGCUCUGAGUGGAAUUACAAUAUGAGAAGAAUCUAGUAAAAAUAUUCCUGUUGCAUUUAAAUGGUGGCACAGAAAAAUUAGAAUUCAAUUCUAUUUUAAGCUACAUUCAGAUCAGAAUUUACUUUCCUCUCACCCUAUCCUAUGCUGGGUUCCAUCAGGAUGUGUUUUAUUACUAUAUUUUUUAUAGUACCAUCCAGCAAAGAUGAAAUGCUACUGGGUACAAGUCUCUGCUUGAGUGUUGUCACAUACAAAAAAUUUUUGUGUUCUUUUUAUAUCUUUUAUCAAGAAGAAUGUUACUCCUUGAUGUAUUCUGGUUUACGUUUCUUAGUUUUCUCAUAUAAAUCUAAUUUUCCAGCCAUCAGUUUGCAUUAUGGCAUAGCAUCAUCUCUGUAUAUUGCCAUAUAUAUAAACGCCAAACUAAACACAAUAUUGUUUAUUGAUGCUUUUGAACUGUGGUGUUGGAGAAGACUCUUGAGAGUCCCUUGAACUGCAAGGAGAUCAAACCAGUCAAUCCUAAAGGAAAUCAGUCCUGAAUAUUCAUCGGAAGGACUCAUGCUGAAGCUGAGACUCCUAUACUCAUAGGUGACUCCUAUGGCCACCUGAUGCGAAAAUCUGACUCCUUGGAAAAGAUCCUGAUGCUGGGAAAGAUUGAAGGCAGGAGGAGAAGGGGACAACAGAAGAUGAGAUGGUUGGAUGGCAUCACUGACUUGAUGGACAUGAGUUUGACCAAUUUCUGGGAGCUGGUGAUGGACAGGGAAGCCUGGCGUGCUGUAGUCCAUGGCGUCUCAAAGAGUCAGACACGACUGAGGGACUGAACUGAACUGAAACACAAUAUGCUGAAAGGAAGGAAUGAUGAAAAUUGGGGAGUACAGAGAGCACAGUAUCUUUGGCGUAAUUUUUCUGAAGUCCAGUGUACUACAGAAGAGGCCGCCAGCUGGCUCACUGUUCUCCUUGCCCUCACUCUACAUUAGUACUACAUUACUGUUUGUCUGAAUUGGUUAUCUUGUUAACUAAUCCCCCAUUUCAUACUCUGCUAAUCUCCCUGAAACACAUCUCUAAUGUGGUUCCCAUCUCAACACUACUAAUUUGAUUCCUUUGCCUGUAGAAUAAAAUCUAGGUUUUGACUGGCGUAUUUAAGGCCUUAUUGAUGUUGAAGGUAGUAUGUGUGUUAGGAAAGGAUUGAGGAAAUUUGAUAUUUGAUUUCAUAAAGAGGAUGAAGCCGAACUAUCAAAGAACUCCAUGAUUUUGAGCUUAGAGAUCUAAAAGAUUAUUGAUAACCAUCCCAGUUGUAAAAUACUGUACCAUGAUAUCUGUAUUUUUAACAUUGUCCUUGGACUGUUUCCCUAUUUCCAAGGAAUAUUUGGCUUUUUCCCCCUCUAUGUAUAUUUAGGCUCUUUUCGGUUUUGUCAAUUUGCAUAUUGGUCUUCUCUGAAACUUUACGUCUGCUGCUUCUGUUUCUGAUUAUUUUGUGCCACCUGUGAGGCCUCUUCUUCAUAGGAAUUCUUGUUAAUUCCAACCAAAAAACCCCAGUGACUGUAAAUGUACAUGUGGUUUCAAUGAUUGUUCAUGACUUGUAAGUCUGCUGACUUCCUUUUUAGGAGAGACCAUCAAUACCUGUUCUUGAAUACAUUGAUCUGAUCUGUAGUGAUGAUAAAGAGCCUAGAACCUAUUGUAGUGAUAUAAGUAUGUUUGUGUUUCUUCAGUUCUGUCAUUAAGUGCAAUAUGUUCUGGACAUGGCUUGAACUGGCUUGCAAGAAUCAAUUGUUAAAUUUGAGCUGAUUGUUAAACAUAGAUAUUAUUAAAACUUCAAGUAUAACUCAGCCAUAAAAAAGAAUGAAGUAAUGCCAUUUGCAUCAACAUGGAUAGACCUAGAGAUUAUCAUACUAAGUGAAAUAAGUCAGAAAGACAAGCACAAGACAAGUAUGAUAUUACUUACAUAUGGAAUCUAAAAUACGAUACAAAUGAACUUAUUUACAAGACAGGAAUAGACUUACAGAGAUAGAAAACAAAUUUACAGUUAUGAAAGGCAAAGAGGAGAGAGGAAUGAAUUAGGAGUUUGGAAUUAGCAGAUACAAACUUUUAUAUAUAAAGAAGAUAAACAACAAGGUCCUAUUGUGUGUUGUAAUAAUCUAUAAUGGAAAAGAAUAUAUAUAACUCAAAUCACUUCUCUGUAAGCCAGAAGCUAACACAACAUUGUAAAUCAACUGUACUUCAGUUAAAAAGUUCAAGUGUAUACAAAUUUGAAAGUAAAUAGGUUAUCAUUACAUUUAAGGUAAUAGAUACGCAAAUCUCUCCAUAACCUAAUGUCUACACACUUGAGGUUAUUCACGUCUGUUGUACUGUGUGGUAGAAACACUGUAUAAUGGUGUGCUCCUGAAGGGUGAUGGGAGUAUUUACAGCGAGGUAGUUGACUGCAAAGUAGGGGUUGGUUUACUUGUUGAUUGUCUAAACUGAAGAAAGUGAUAGGUGAAAUCUUAAUAUGGAUUAAGCUUAAAAAUGUGUUAUGUGUCUUAACUACUAGACGCUAUCCUGUAUGAAAAAUUGAGGAAAUCUUGCAGUAUUUGAAAACUGUUCAUUGAUCCAACAAAAGUGUUGAUAUAUCAUUGAUGAAUGAGUGGAGUUCUGAGAUAUAUAUUUUUUAGCUUUCUUCUUAAUCAUGUACAUGAAAAUAUCAACCAUUUUUCACAC
This 6334-nucleotide long non-coding RNA is filed under the name Bos indicus x Bos taurus (hybrid cattle). RNAcentral's name for it is "lncRNA (ENSBIXG00000007136.1)". Lineage: Eukaryota; Metazoa; Chordata; Mammalia; Artiodactyla; Bovidae. The record is from RNAcentral.